RNAcentral lists this unclassified non-coding RNA (336 nucleotides) under soil metagenome. RNAcentral's name for it is "partial contains 5.8S ribosomal RNA, internal transcribed spacer 2, and large subunit ribosomal RNA". The stretch from base 1 to 120 matches the Rfam family "5.8S ribosomal RNA", at positions 35 to 154 of the family's 154-position model. The record is from RNAcentral.
GAUGAAGAACGCAGCGAAAUGCGAUAAGUAAUGUGAAUUGCAGAAUUCAGUGAAUCAUCGAAUCUUUGAACGCACAUUGCGGCCGCCAGUAUUCUGGCGGGCAUGCCUGUUCGAGCGUCAUUUCAACCAUCAAGCCCCCGGCUUGUGUUGGGGACCUGCGGCUGCCGCAGGCCCUGAAAACCAGUGGCGGGCUCGCUGUCACACCGAGCGUAGUAGAUUUUCAUCUCGCUCAGGGCGUGCUGCGGGUUCCGGCCGUAAAAAGCCUUAUUUACCCAAGGUUGACCUCGGAUCAGGUAGGAAGACCCGCUGAACUUAAGCAUAUCAAUAAGCGGAGGA